CAUGUAGGAAAGAGCUACCACCCCGGUCGUCCGGUAAGUGUGUGAAGCUACCACAUGGAGAUUAAUUGAAAAGUCGAAAAGGUUGAAAAAAAUAAUAAUUUUAGAAUUUUCGGAGUAAUAAGGUGCUAGUUUGAAAAAGAUGCUCAAAGAGCCACCCCCGGUAUCAUGUUAGUUAAAUCUCUAUUUUGAACGUGUUACGACAAAUUGGUGUCAAUUUUUGUUGAAUUUCUAAAAAUCAUUUUUCAUCAACUUACAUCUUGAUGGUUUUGAAUCAUUAAAUUAUUUUUGAUAAUAAAAUUUUGAUGUUUUGAUAUAUUUUGAAAUUUUAUAAUAUCUUAUUGUCAUUAUAAUGAUUCUUGGAGUAAAAGCCUUAAUUUAUUUGAAAUUAAUUUAAUUUGAUGGAUUUUUAAAGCAAAUUUUUCGAAAUCUGAGAUCGUUCGUCGAGCUUAGUCUCUCUCUUUUACUUCAUUUGCAUUUUAGGAUGAUGUUUUAGUUUCAGUUCUG
Molecule: long non-coding RNA, 504 nt
Filed under: Ananas comosus (pineapple)
Lineage: Eukaryota; Viridiplantae; Streptophyta; Magnoliopsida; Poales; Bromeliaceae
Description: long non-coding RNA (ACOM_LNC025914)
Source: RNAcentral